AAUCUACCCAUCUCUACGGAACAACUCCGGGAAACUGGAGCUAAUACCGUAUACGUCCUUUUGGAGAAAGAUUUAUCGGAGAUGGAUGAGCCCGCGUUGGAUUAGCUAGUUGGUGGGGUAAUGGCCUACCAAGGCGACGAUCCAUAGCUGGUCUGAGAGGAUGAUCAGCCACACUGGGACUGAGACACGGCCCAGACUCCUACGGGAGGCAGCAGAG
Molecule: ribosomal RNA, 217 nt
Filed under: uncultured Mesorhizobium sp.
Lineage: Bacteria; Pseudomonadati; Pseudomonadota; Alphaproteobacteria; Hyphomicrobiales; Phyllobacteriaceae
Description: partial 16S ribosomal RNA
Rfam family: Bacterial small subunit ribosomal RNA
Source: RNAcentral